UCAAGAAACUUCCACAAUGGGCGAAAGCCUGAUGGAGCGACGUCGCGUGAUGGACGAAGUGCUUCGGCACGUAAACAUCUUUUAUGUGGGAUGAAAUUAUUGACAGUACCACAUGAAUAAGGGGCUCCUAACUCUGUGCCAGCAGGAGCGGUAAUACAGAGGCCCCAAGCGUUAUCCGGAAUCACUGGGCGUAAAGGGUGUCGAGGCGGUUGUAUUAGUCGUUCGUAAAAUCUACGAGCUUAACUUGUAGGCGGCGAACGAAACGGUACGACUUGAGGUUUGGAGAGGUGCGUGGAACUCACGGUGUAGGGGUGAAAUCCGUUGAUAUCGUGGGGAACACCAAAGGCGAAGGCAACGCACUGGCCAAAAUCUGACGCUCACACACGAAAGCUAGGGUAGCGAAGAGGAUUAGAUACCCGCGUAGUCCCUGAGCGGGCUGGCAAGGCGCAU
RNAcentral lists this ribosomal RNA (450 nucleotides) under uncultured bacterium. Its description in RNAcentral is "bacterial SSU rRNA". It matches the Rfam family "Bacterial small subunit ribosomal RNA", at positions 355 to 825 of the family's 1533-position model. The record is from RNAcentral.